Molecule: ribosomal RNA, 468 nt
Filed under: uncultured bacterium
Lineage: Bacteria
Description: partial 16S ribosomal RNA
Rfam family: Bacterial small subunit ribosomal RNA
Source: RNAcentral
GAUGAACGCUGGCGGCGUGCCUAAUACAUGCAAGUCGAACGGAAAGACCCUGCGCUUGUGGCGUGCUCGAGUGGCGAACGGGGGUGUAACACGCGAGUAUCCCGCCCUUGACUGUGGGAUAACUUCAGGAAACUGGGGCGAAUACAGGAUAGGAGCUCCUGCUGCACGGGGGGGGUUGGAAAGUGUCGGCGGUUGGGGCUGGAUUCGCGGCUUAUCAGCUUGUUGGUGGGGUAGUGGCGUACCAAGGCUUUGACGGGUAGCCGGCCUGAGAGCGUGACCGGCCACAUUGGGCCUGCGAUACGGCCCAGACUCCUACGGGAGGCAGCAGUGGAGAAUAUUGCACAAUGGGCGGAAGCCUGAUGCAGCAACGCCGCGUGCGGGAUGCCGGCCUUCGGGUUGUAAACCGCUUUCGCCUGUGACGAAGCGUGAGUGACGGUAAUGGGUAAAGAAGCACCGGCUAACUACGUG